UACGGAGGGUGCGAGCGUUGUUCGGAAUCACUGGGCGUAAAGCGCGUGUAGGCGGCCAUUUAAGUCUGGUGUGAAAGCCCUGGGCUCACCCCAGGAAGGGCACUGGAUACUGGAUGGCUGGAGUACCGGAGAGGAGGGUGGAAUUCCUGGUGUAGCGGUGAAAUGCGUAGAUAUCAGGAGGAACACCGGUGGCGAAGGCGUCCCUCUGGCCGGAUACUGACGCUGAGACGCGAAAGCGUGGGGAGCAAACAGG
Molecule: ribosomal RNA, 253 nt
Filed under: uncultured bacterium
Lineage: Bacteria
Description: partial 16S ribosomal RNA
Rfam family: Bacterial small subunit ribosomal RNA
Source: RNAcentral